CCUACGGGUGGCAGCAGUAGGGAAUUUUCGUCAAUGGGCGCAAGCCUGAACGAGCAAUGCCGCGUGAACGAGGAAGGUCUUCGGAUCGUAAAGUCCUUUUGAAGGGGAAAAAGAGCGGAGAGAGGAAAUGCUUUCUGAUUGAUAUUACCCUUCGAGGAAGUCACGGCUAACUACGGGCCAGCAGCCGCGUUAAUACGUAGGUGGCGAUCGUUAUCCGGAAUGAUUGGGCGGAAAGGGUGCGGAGGCUGCCUGCUAAGUCUGGAGUGAAAGGUACCGGCCGAACCGGUGCAGGCUCUGGGAAAUGGGGGGCUAGAGGGGAGCAGAGGGAGGUGGAAAUCCAUGUGUAGCGGUAAAAUGCGU
Molecule: ribosomal RNA, 360 nt
Filed under: uncultured bacterium
Lineage: Bacteria
Description: partial 16S ribosomal RNA
Rfam family: Bacterial small subunit ribosomal RNA
Source: RNAcentral